UACUACUAUAAGACGAGAAGACCCCAUGGAGCUUUAAACCCAACUACACCCCUAUUUACAACAACUACUUAACCAAUUGGACACUGUAUGCUUGGUUUUAGGUUGGGGCGACCACGGAGUAAAAAAUAACCUCCACGAUAAAUGGGNUUACCCCCUUAUCUAAGAGCCACACCUCUAAGAAUUAAAAUAUUAAUAUAAUAUGAUCCUUUCUUGAUCAACGGACCAAGUUACCCUGGGGAUAACAGCGCAAUCCAUUUCAAGAGCCCCU
RNAcentral lists this ribosomal RNA (268 nucleotides) under Mantidactylus cowanii. RNAcentral describes it as "partial large subunit ribosomal RNA". The record is from RNAcentral. Lineage: Eukaryota; Metazoa; Chordata; Amphibia; Anura; Mantellidae.